GUAUAUAGCUCAGUUGGUAGAGUGUUUGCCUAGCUUGCAUAAGGCCCUGGGUUCAAUCUCCAGCAUCACA
Molecule: transfer RNA, 70 nt
Filed under: Marmota monax (woodchuck)
Lineage: Eukaryota; Metazoa; Chordata; Mammalia; Rodentia; Sciuridae
Description: tRNA.Ala
Source: RNAcentral